This 225-nucleotide ribosomal RNA is filed under the name Triticum aestivum (bread wheat). RNAcentral's name for it is "partial small subunit ribosomal RNA". The record is from RNAcentral. Lineage: Eukaryota; Viridiplantae; Streptophyta; Magnoliopsida; Poales; Poaceae.
AUCCUUGAUAGAAUUAGGGCUAGGUUAGCCGAUUGGAAGGGUAGGCUAAUGCCGAUGGCGGGUCGCCGCGUCCUAGUACGCUGCGUUCUGUCAGCAAUCCCAACCUUCGCGCUCACAGCUUUACACGCACCGAAGAAGCUCUUGAAGGAAAUUGAGAAGUCGAGGAGAUGAUUUCUCUGGGCGCAGGACGACGAGAUCUUAGGGGCGAAGUGCAAGGUCGGCUAG